CAAAAUUCUAAACCUGGAAGUUGCUGUGAAAUGGAAUUGUUGCUCUCUGGACAGCUUGUAAGUGAUGUUCUACACCAGAAAGGCAGGCAGGCUACUGGAGACUCAUGCUGACACGCUGCUCCAUUGAGGGCCCAUGGCAUGUAGCUGCAGAGAAGUUAACAAGAAUCAUAGAAAUGUAGGGCUGGAAGGGACCUUGAGAAGUCAUCAAGUCUAGCCUCCUGUGCUGUGGCAGAACCAAAAUAAACCUAGACCAUACCAGACAGAAAUCAGAUGUUUGCACUGUGGACCUGAUCCAGCAUUCAUUAAAAUCGAUGGGACGUCUUUCACUGAUUUCAGUAAACAUUGGAUCCAAGUCUACACGAGCUGAUGAAAAUGUAAUUUAUUUGUUCAAUAUGUGUUCCACUCAAGCAAAAUUCUCAGACAGCGGAAAGCUGUGAUGAGCCAUCAAACAAGGAGUGAUCUGGAAACUGAUUCAUACAAGAAGCUCCAAGUCCAAUAUGAGGUAACAAAAGAAGAAGAAAAUACAACUAAACCUUCAUCCCCAACUGGGCUCAGCGUACAGUCCUGUUCCUCACAGGGAG
Molecule: long non-coding RNA, 581 nt
Organism: Mauremys mutica (yellowpond turtle)
Lineage: Eukaryota; Metazoa; Chordata; Testudines; Geoemydidae
Exons: 5
Source: RefSeq, a predicted model, not a curated record